GUGAGGAUUGGGUAAUCUGCAUCCUGAGGUUUAGAUUGGCAUAAAUGAUUUUGGAUAAUCUAGCCCUUGGGAUGCAGAUUAUCUCGUCCUCAU
RNAcentral lists this microRNA precursor (93 nucleotides) under Manihot esculenta (cassava). RNAcentral describes it as "miR2111b stem-loop (mes-MIR2111b)". Lineage: Eukaryota; Viridiplantae; Streptophyta; Magnoliopsida; Malpighiales; Euphorbiaceae. The record is from miRBase by way of RNAcentral.